Molecule: ribosomal RNA, 1140 nt
Filed under: Oceanobacillus sp. 593B1_12AMannit
Lineage: Bacteria; Bacillati; Bacillota; Bacilli; Caryophanales; Bacillaceae
Description: bacterial SSU rRNA
Rfam family: Bacterial small subunit ribosomal RNA
Source: RNAcentral
UGCAAGUCGAGCGCAGGAAUAAACAGAACCCUUCGGGGUGAUGUUUAUGGAAUGAGCGGCGGACGGGUGAGUAACACGUGGGCAACCUGCCUGUAAGAUCGGGAUAACUCGCGGAAACGUGAGCUAAUACCGGAUAACACUUUUCAUCUCAUGGUGAGAAGAUAAAAGACGGUUUCGGCUGUCACUUACAGAUGGGCCCGCGGCGCAUUAGCUAGUUGGUGAGGUAACGGCUCACCAAGGCGACGAUGCGUAGCCGACCUGAGAGGGUGAUCGGCCACACUGGGACUGAGACACGGCCCAGACUCCUACGGGAGGCAGCAGUAGGGAAUCUUCCGCAAUGGACGAAAGUCUGACGGAGCAACGCCGCGUGAGUGAUGAAGGUUUUCGGAUCGUAAAACUCUGUUGUUAGGGAAGAACAAGUUGGGUAGUAACUGACCCAACCUUGACGGUACCUAACCAGAAAGCCACGGCUAACUACGUGCCAGCAGCCGCGGUAAUACGUAGGUGGCAAGCGUUGUCCGGAAUUAUUGGGCGUAAAGCGCUCGCAGGCGGUCUUUUAAGUCUGAUGUGAAAGCCCACGGCUUAACCGUGGAGGGUCAUUGGAAACUGGAGGACUUGAGUACAGAAGAGGAGAGUGGAAUUCCACGUGUAGCGGUGAAAUGCGUAGAGAUGUGGAGGAACACCAGUGGCGAAGGCGACUCUCUGGUCUGUAACUGACGCUGAGGAGCGAAAGCGUGGGUAGCGAACAGGAUUAGAUACCCUGGUAGUCCACGCCGUAAACGAUGAGUGCUAGGUGUUAGGGGGUUUCCGCCCCUUAGUGCUGAAGUUAACGCAUUAAGCACUCCGCCUGGGGAGUACGGCCGCAAGGCUGAAACUCAAAAGAAUUGACGGGGGCCCGCACAAGCGGUGGAGCAUGUGGUUUAAUUCGAAGCAACGCGAAGAACCUUACCAGGUCUUGACAUCCUCUGAUACCUCUAGAAGAUAGAGUUUUCCCUUCGGGGACAGAGUGACAGGUGGUGCAUGGUUGUCGUCAGCUCGUGUCGUGAGAUGUUGGGGUUAAGUCCCGCAACGAGCGCAACCCUUUGAUCUUAGUUGCCAGCAUUCAGUUGGGCACUCUAAAGGUGACUGCCGGUGACAAAC